UACGUAGGGGGCAAGCGUUGUCCGGAUUUAUUGGGCGUAAAGAGCGUGUAGGCGGCUAGAUAGGUCCGUUGUGAAAACUCGAGGCUCAACCUCGAGACGUCGAUGGAAACCAUCUGGCUAGAGUCCGGAAGAGGAGAGUGGAAUUCCUGGUGUAGCGGUGAAAUGCGCAGAUAUCAGGAAGAACACCCGUGGCGAAGGCGGCUCUCUGGUACGUGACUGACGCUGAGGCGCGAAAGCCAGGGGAGCAAACGGGG
Molecule: ribosomal RNA, 254 nt
Filed under: uncultured bacterium
Lineage: Bacteria
Description: partial 16S ribosomal RNA
Rfam family: Bacterial small subunit ribosomal RNA
Source: RNAcentral